Non-coding RNA from Podarcis lilfordi (Lilford's wall lizard), 78 nucleotides. The record is from the annotation of a GenBank genome assembly. NCBI's taxonomy places the organism in Eukaryota, Metazoa, Chordata, Lepidosauria, Squamata, Lacertidae.
UGUCAUGAGAGAUAGCUCAGUUGGUAGAGUGUGAGACUCUUAAACUCAGGGCCAUGGGUUUGAGCCCCAUGUUGGCAG